Molecule: ribosomal RNA, 433 nt
Filed under: uncultured bacterium
Lineage: Bacteria
Description: bacterial SSU rRNA
Rfam family: Bacterial small subunit ribosomal RNA
Source: RNAcentral
ACUCCUACGGGAGGCAGCAGUAGGGAAUCUUCCACAAUGGGCGCAAGCCUGAUGGAGCAACACCGCGUGAGUGAAGAAGGGUUUCGGCUCGUAAAGCUCUGUUGUUAAAGAAGAAUACGUAUGAGAGUAACUGUUCAUACGUUGACGGUAUUUAACCAGAAAGUCACGGCUAACUACGUGCCAGCAGCCGCGGUAAUACGUAGGUGGCAAGCGUUAUCCGGAUUUAUUGGGCGUAAAGAGAGUGCAGGCGGUUUUCUAAGUCUGAUGUGAAAGCCUUCGGCUUAACCGGAGAAGUGCAUCGGAAACUGGAUAACUUGAGUGCAGAAGAGGGUAGUGGAACUCCAUGUGUAGCGGUGGAAUGCGUAGAUAUAUGGAAGAACACCAGUGGCGAAGGCGGCUACCUGGUCUGCAACUGACGCUGAGACUCGAAAGC